This is a long non-coding RNA of Rhipicephalus microplus (southern cattle tick), 1779 nucleotides long. RefSeq lists it as uncharacterized. Lineage: Eukaryota; Metazoa; Arthropoda; Arachnida; Ixodida; Ixodidae. The record is from RefSeq and is a predicted model, not a curated record.
GGUUCCUUGUCUUCAGCGUCCCGUGAGGCGUACCAUUCACUCGUGUCCAUACAUGGCAGACUGCAUUCGUGUCGUCAGUGCAGCUAUGUGACCAAGGACAAAGGAAACAUGAAAAAGCACAUUCACAGACACACAGGCGAGCGCCCCUUCCAGUGCCACUUGUGCCCAGCUGCAUUUUUUCGGGACAGUGAUCUCACAAGGCACCUUCGCACGCACACAGGAGAGCGUCCCUUUUCCUGUAACCAAUGGGGUGCAUCGUUCUCACAGCAAGGUGGCCUCAUGGGUCACAUGCUCACACACACUGGGGAGCGUCCAUUUUCCUGUGACCACUGCAGUGCGUCGUUUUCAAAAAAGGCGAACCUCAUUAGGCACAAGCGUUGCCACACAGGAGAGCGUCCAUUCUCCUGUGGCCACUGCAAUGCAUCCUUUUCACAAAAACAUCACCUUGUAAACCACGUGCGCCGUUAUCAUACAAGAAAGUUGACAUAAAAAGUUUCUUGUCUUAAGCCACCUUGGAAAAGUACAAGUCACUUGCGUCUGUACAUGGCCAACAGCAGACUUGCCAGUAGUUUUGUGUGAACAAGGUCAAGAUGUAAAUGCAAACACCUUUAUACAGUGGCAUACCAACUCUUUCUCUCUCUCUUUCUCUCACACACACACAUACGUGCACACACACACACACACACAUGUAUCAGGAAAGAGAACUUUAUCGACGUGCUCACACUUCAAUAUAAAUUUGCAUACAAAGAUAUGACACAAUGCAUUCUUAGAUACCAUGAAGUUCAAUCACAUUUUAACAGGCUGAGGAAUGGCUCCCUUUGCCCAAUUUCCCCGACAAAUAUGCGACGCUCAUAUUGCUAUCAUGCCUCGUUAGCAGAUAAUGCUUUGGCAGUUAACAUCUACAGCUACCACAAAAAUUUAAUAAAUUUAUCAUGAAUAAUAGUCUUUGGCAUGAAGAUGUACCAAGCGUCAACGAGGAUACACCUGCAUUGAAUGGGGCUAUAGCUGCCGAGCACCGAAACAUACAUUAGGCAAACCCUCCUUUAUCAAUGUACAGUAAACAUUUGAUUAUCCCUGUAAAGGAGCGUUUUACUUUAGUGUUAUAUGUCGAUUCCUGUGAUGGAGGAAUCAACCAUGUUUUUUUCAAGGAAUGAUUACUGUUAUGUUUUUUUAUAAGUAUUACACUUUCUUGCAGAUAUUCAGGCAUGCGUGUAUUAUAAUUUGACUCAUUUGCUGUUAGUCUGAUUAGUAUACCUGGAAUGUGCAAUUAUUCAUAAUAUUGCUAUUGUAAUAUUACUGUUAUUAACCUAUUAUCAACUUCUGAACCAUUUUCUUUAAAAAUGUAUCAUUUGUGGUGUUAGGGACGUAGUACAUUGUCUACAUUCAUUAUAUUUGUAUCAAAAAUUUUUUAUCGGGCUUUCAGGCACCUUUGUAAAUACACCAACACAAAUGAUGUAGACAAAAUUUUUUUGAAAGAACAGAAUGUGGGCAAAUAUAACGUUAUGCUAAUCUUCAUUGCUUCCUUUCAAAAUGGUUGUUAGCUGUAUAUUGAGUUCAAUUGAGUUUAUUGCGCAACAAAAUAUGGUGGAGACCAGGCAAAAAGCUGCACUGAGCUUGAGGGGAACCUUGAGGGAAUAUUGGUGUAAAUGGUCUUUGUCAUGCACACUGCACCAGCUUGUUAUGCGAGCCAAUAAAUGACGUGAAAAUGACCCAUCGCUUAAUCACCAGCCCUGCACGACCAUGUAAAAUAUAAGAGAAUAAAUUAUUUUCGAUACGGCA